UGCCAAGCAUGUACAAGGAGCAGCAGCGGAGCUGUGGGGAUGUGGAAGCUGCACCCAGGGCAGAGCUUGCCUCUGACACGCUCUGAUAGCUCUGUCCAGUGUCUGCCUCUCUGAGCCCCGCCUCCUUCCUUGUCAGUGCGGUUGCUUUGAGGACCAAAAGACCGCUCUGAGGUGCAGCAAUUGCUCGAGGGAAGCACCGUUGAGCUGGAGCCUGGGUGAGGAGUCGCCACAGGUAGCUCUGCAGCAACUGGGAAGGAAAGAGAGCUGGAGAGAAAAAAAAAAAAGACUACACCUGGCUCAGCUGUACCGAAUCUGAAGGAAUCCAGGUGAAGGGGUUCCACACACAGAGCCCAGUGACCGGGAAGUCAGGCCUGCAUUAGAGGGUCCAAGCACUGCCCACUGGACUUGCCACAGGCAUCCAAAGUGAAUGAGCUCCCCAGUAGCACAUGCAGAAACAAAGCAGAACAGUGCAAAGCUAAGGCCUGCGUCUGAACGGCGAGCACAAGCAGAGCAGACAGAGCCAAAAAUUCAGGGAGGGGCCGGAGGCUGCUGCAGUCUGGGAGAAAGCUCCCAGCAAUGUGGGGAAAAGCUGGACACAGCAGCUGAACCGCCCUGCUCAAGGUGAAAUAAAAAGAGAUAUCUUCCAAUGGACCGUGUCUUCGCCAAAUUUAUAUCUUAGCCAAGUCUCACUCUGACAAGACUUGGAGAUUCUCAAAACUCUGAACUUGUGAUUUGACUCGGUAGGAAACGGAACUGCGGGAGAGAACACGGAAAGGCCGUAAAGGCAGAGGACGCCGGAGGGUCCUGAAUAAGGACGGGCUGUCAAGAGCUGAGGUUGAGAUCACUGGCUCUCACGCUUCCGUGUACAGGGGUUUCUCCAAAGCUGCCUUCAGCAUCUUGGAGUCUUUUAUUUAAACCGAAUGGCCCGAUGCCCUGAUUGAAGAUGAGGCAGCAAGUGCCGGCUGAGCUGAGAAGCGUGUGCAGGUGGGCUUCGUGGCACCGAGGCUCUGCUGGUGGUUCUCUGCUUCAGCAGACAAAGACAUUUUCCGACGCCCGGUUUCUCUCUGGAUACCAUUGUUUGCUGAAGGUUGAGACGCACACCUGGGCUGAAGCCUGAUGAAGGUAACACGGACUCACUUGAGACAUGACAGCCGCCCGGGUCCGCUCCCGCAUUGCCGCGUUGUCGAGGCACCAGGACCAGGGAGUGCGUGAAUGCAGCCGAGCGAGCCUCGCCACCAACGCAGGGCCAGGUGGCACACCAGGGCUCCCGAGGCAGCUGAGAGCAGGAGCGUUACCUGCAUUUCUGGGAGCAGACGCAGCCCUGACCAUGCCUGCCGCUCACACGUGGGCCCAGGGUUUCUUGUGCAGCAGAAACAGUGAGCAGGACACCAGCUCGGCCACAGCCUCUUGUACCACACAUCGGGGCUGAGCAGAGGUGUCCUCUGCGAUCGUGAGUCAGCACAGACACAGCAAGACCAUGUUCGGACCCCGAAAGUGCCAAACAGCCCCGUUCCCGGCAAUAUGAGCAACUGAUGCUUCCUCCACAAAACAACCUUUCACCUCACUCAUUUGUCCUGCCUCCUGGUUAAGAUUCACUGCAAUGCCCCUGCCUCCAUGUCCCCUAUUUCCCGACAGCAGCCUGAGCUGAGAACCUCCGACUCCCACCCGCAGUGGCCUGACAACAGCUUUGCUCAAAGCUCCUCUGCUGCUCGGAUUCUGGCCAGCGUGGCACCCAGGACUGGAGCUGGAGGCUGUGCUCUGCUGUUGGAAUAGCUCAGCCCCAGAGGAGAGCCAGGGGCGAGGCAGCCUCACUGAGACAGCAGCCCGGCUGAGAAGCCGCGGUCACUGGGAACUCCCAAAGAGCCCAGGCACGCAACCUGACACUGGACCCUGUGGCUGUGAAGAGCGACAGCCCUUGUCCCCAGCAGUCUGGACAGUGCUCUCCUGCACUCUGAGAUGAGAUCUUCAGGUAGCCCCUGGCUUUCUCCUGACACCUCCACAGCCAUCCACCUUCAAGGGGGUCUCAUGUGUGUGCACAGCUGUGCUCAACAGCCCAAGGCACCCCUCAGCCUGCCAGGCUGUGAGUACGGACAGGGAGGGCUGCCACUGGAGGGGCAGUGAUGGCAGGUGUGUGGUCAGGGGCUGUGGUAAUGCUGUGGGGUGGGGGCCCUGCUCUGCGGGGGGAGCCAUGAGGGGAAGCUUCCCUAGGGAGCAGGGGCUUGAGCUGAGACUUUGUUUCCCAGGCAGAAAGAAGCAGCUUUUGCAAAUCUCACACCUAUGAAACAUGGGGUGUGCUUGAGGAACAAAGCGUGGGUGUAGCCGGGACGUGCGCAGUGCUCCGGGCGGCGUGGAAGGGCUGCCGCUCUCCCAGUUCCUGCCCCACGUCCCUUCUGCCUCUGUUUCUGCUCUCUCCUCUCCGUCCCUGUCACUGACCCUCCUGCCUGUGUCCCUUCUAAGGGUCCCAGUGACUGCCUCGGGCCACCUGGCUGAUCCAGGACCAUCUCCCCUCUCAAGACUGUAACAUAAGAAUGUCUGCAAAGUCCCCUUAACCACACGGGGUGACAUAUUUGCAGUUUCCAGGGGUUAGGAGCUGCACGUCGUUGAGGGCCCUGACUCUGCCUCCAGGGCUGUGUGUGAACAGCAAACAUGGAACGCACAGGGCAACGCACCUGCCUCUUCACCAGCACUGUGAGCACAGUGCCAACCUCCUUUUUCUUUCCCAAACUGCCACUGAAUUUACACUACCAGGGAAGAACAAAGCAGGUUAGCCACUGAUGAUAUAGCACACCAAGCCAAGCCACUGGUCAACCUCGUGUCUGCAAGAAUUAGAGCGAGAAGGACCCACGGUGCCACCUUUGGGGCAGAGCCUUUGCCCUUCCCCCAGUGACAUCUUGCUCCAUUUACAGCACUGGGGAUUGCCCACAUGGCAGAGAGGCGCUGAGGCACAGCAUCCACACUGUGACACCAUGUGCUCCAGGAACGCCAGUGAGGAGCUCAAGGUCGCCAAGCCCAGCCAGAGACUGCAAGUGAGGCUCCCCGCUUCCCAGGGGAGCCGGGUCAUCAUAGCCCCACACAUUCUGCUUUCUAAUUUUGAAGUGACCUUCCCCUUCCAUGACAUGUAAUCGUGGAAGGAAGGCCGUGAGCUGGUAGAACGUUCUGAGUGUUGAUCCCAUGCCUGCCCUGCUGCUGGUGGCCAUUUGGGAGGAUUAAAUGGGACAGUGCCUGCAGAGCCACAGCCAUGGUGCCCCUUGCUUCUUGAGUAGCACUGAACAGAUGCCAGCUCCUUCCCUCUGGCAGGCCUGCGCUCUUCAGAGCUCACCUCUUGGGGCUUCGGCGGGGGGCUGACGCCAGUGACGAAUGGUGUUUCCUCUCCACCUGCAGGUUUCUGCUGCUCCCCUCCCAGAAUAGCUCAAGUAGGCUGUGACCUCGGCGAGCACCCUUGAGAGACUCUCGAGGCGCCUUGAGAAGUCACACACGAGGCUGGUGCAUCUGGGCUGGAUCCAUUAUUCAUGCACGCAGGUCUUGGCAAGCACAGUAAUUUAGAGUUUCUCGAAGCGCACGCUGCAGCAACCAUAAACUACGUUCCGUGUGCUUCAGGGAAAAAUUACCUUUCCCUUGCUGAAGCCAGGGUCACGGCAGAAAGCCUGCACAGAUGAAGCCACGGCUGAGGAGGAGAGGGAGGCGGUCCAGGCCUUUCAGAAAAGCCCUUGGAGACCUCACACUGGGAAGCAGCCCCGGUCACCUGCACGACCUCUGCAGCCUCGACUUCCUCCCUGGGAAAUGAGUCACCGACUUGCACACGUGCACCCCUCCACCCUCCCUUCUCCUCCCAUGAUCCCCGGAGUAACUGACUGCUCCCCCAAAUCACCUCAGAUGCUGCACGCCUGUCUCCCGUUGUUUCAGGAGCCAAAAACUGCCCAUGCAGCCCCUGGAACACGGAGACCGGAAUCCCUCUCACAUGUCUAUUUACCUCCAUCUUCAUAGCUCUCAUGAAAAAGCAUAGCUUUUAUGUCUUCAGAGAAUGUAAGUACGGAAGCACAGCUUUCUCCAGAAGACACAGCACUGAGGCAGCAAAUGAGCAGACACUAACAGAUCCCACUCAUGCUAAGCGGUGGAGAUAAACAUAAAGACAAAUAAAAGACAGGAAGCAGCAUCCGGUUUUAGAUUCUGGAGUGUGAUGAGGAUGAAGCACCUUGAGGAAUCUUUGAGGUCGCUGCCCGCUUCUGAUUCUGUCUUUUGCUUUCUGAACACGACACAUCAGUGUGAUUGCAUCCCCCUCCCCACCACAGUGCUGGAUUCUCAUUUCUAUUCUCCCCAAAGCCCAGCUUCUCUGCAGAAAUGAAGGAUGUGGCUCCACAGCGCACAGGCAGGCUGUAUGUGAGCUGGGAGGUGGCUCCUUCCACCGGGACACAUGGGGAUCUCUUGGCCAUGCGGGUCCCCUGUGGCCUGGCCCUACCUCCUGCCUGGGCUGGGUCCUGGGGCUCUCAGAGGCUUCCUGUUCCUUCAGGCCUGGCUGCCUCCUUCCUUCUGGCCCUCUCAGGACCUGGACCUGGCACUGUCUCAAGCCCUCCUUAUGUCACAGUUGUUGACUGGUGACAAGAGCAUCUGCGUAAAUGCAGACCCAAGGGAGGGAGAGGGGGCUGUGGCCUGAACACCACCUGGGACCCCAGCAGGUUGGCGAUGUCUUCUCAGGCGGCAGGUGGAGCCGAGGACAUGUCACAGGGUCCUGCUGCCUUCCCACCUGUGGGAGGUCUCCAGAAUGCAUUCCUGUCAGGGUGGGGACAGUGACAUCCAUGGGGCCCAGGGUGACAGCCAAGAUGCCUCCCUCAGUUUCCCAGAUCUCUGCUCAAUCUCUGUCCUGUUUAUGCAAAAACAGAUCAGUCUAUUGAUGGGCACCUGGCUGCACACUUUGGGAUUGCACCAAUGUCACUGAAUGGUUCACCUGAAAAGGGCUAAUUUUAUGUUAUGUGGAGUUUGCCUUUUCCCCCAUCGUACAAAGCAGCCUUUUGAAAUCUUUAAAUUUGUAAGGCUGUCUAGAACCUCAGAGGUCAUCUUCGUCAAUCCGCUCAUUCUUCCGAUGAGUAAACCGAGGCCACACCCUGAUCCUGUGGCUCUUUCAGAGUCUCCUGGGUGAUGAUCUGGCUCUUGUCCCCAUCAUCCCCUGCUCCCCACACUCUCCUAUUCCUUUGGGCAAAGGUUGGAGUUUGGAAGAGGCUGAAAUCUCCAGAACUGAGGCCUGGGGUCUAGGAACAGCGCUGGUCUUGCUGCACUUUUUGGAUUGUGUGUUUAUUCGUCUGGGUUGGGGGCCGGGAAAAUCAAUGUCGACAGCUGCAGCUUGCAGCAAUGCCUGAUAAAACCCAUUGAUCUCCA
Molecule: non-coding RNA, 5370 nt
Organism: Callithrix jacchus (white-tufted-ear marmoset)
Lineage: Eukaryota; Metazoa; Chordata; Mammalia; Primates; Cebidae
Source: RefSeq, a predicted model, not a curated record